AGUGCUGUCGGGAAGGCCACUGGAGUCAUACGCAAGGUCCUCCAGGCCUGGGCCUCCAGCCACCUCCUGUCAGAGCUAAUCAAGCCAGCACCAACUCAGCAACUCCCUGGACAGACCCUCCAGGAGCAACUGAAAGCCUCUCAGUAGAGAACUGCCCUUGCUACCCUCAGACUAAUAAAGGAGGAAAGACCCUAAGUGCCUUAUCCACACCUCCAACAAGCUGCAGUUAAUCCAAGGAGAGGCCAGUCUGUCUCCCACGGGUCCCACACCAUCCUCCCUCCAUGGCUAGUCACCAGACAGGGAAUCUCUGGCUUGGGCUCACAGCACAGACCCUCCAUCUUGGGCUGACUGUACUGAGUGAUUGCUAACCUGCAUCUUCCUGGGGUGGAGCCCCCAGGAGUCAAUAAAAUGACCCUUGGCCACACCACCACUAAGAUCUCUUCCUCUAUGGCCUCUAAGCUGAGGAAGGAAUAUAAACACUGAGAUUGCCCCAGAGCUGCAGUGAGCAGCCCAGAAGUGCCAAGUCACGAACUACAGCCAGAACUAAAGGGUGGAGAGGUAUCCACACUUUCAGAGCACUAAGAGGUAAAACAGCUCCAACUGUGAGGAAACAUAGGGAAACCACCCAACCAAGCAAGAGUCUACCAACUGACCAAUAGGCCUAAGUGUCACCUUCUGGAUCACACUCCAAAGCUUCAACACCAAAAAUAUCUCACUAACAUAACCCCUUCUGAAACCAGAGACAAGAAGUCAGCUUCAAAUAAAGACCCUCACAAAGCCUUGGCCUAGUGAAAACAUCCAGAAAAGAAGUCUAUUUGACUGUAUUCAUCUACACUACAGUUAAAGGAACACCCACAUGCAGAGAUGAGAAAGAAUCAAUGCAAGAACUCUAGUAACUCAAAUGGCCAGAGCGUCCUACAUCCUCCAAAUAACAGCACCAGUUCUCCAACAAGAGCUCUUAACCAAGCAAGCUCGAACUUGCUGGAAUGACAGAAAUAGAAUUCAGAAUAUGGAUAGGAAUGAAGAUCAUCAAGAUUCAGGAGGAUGGCAAAACCCAAUCCAAGGAAAAUAAGAAUCACAUUAAAGUGAUACAGAAGUUGAAGGAUAAAACAGCCAGUAUAAGAAAAGAACCUAAUGAGUCUGAAAGAGCUAAAUAACACAAUACAAGACAUUCACAAUUCAAUCACAAGUAUUAACAGCAGAAUAAACCAAGCUAAGGGAAGAAUCUCAGAACUUGAAGACUGGCUUUCUGAAACAAGACAGUCAAAAAUAAGGAAAAAAAAAAAACUAAAAAGGAAUGAACAAAACCUCCAAAAAAGUAUGAGAUUAUAUAAAGAGGCAAAAUCCACAAAUCAAUGGCAUCCCUGAAAGGGAGGAGGAGAAAGCAAACAACUUGGAAAACAUAUUUCAGGAUAUCAUCCAUGAAAAUUUCCCCAACCUUGCUAAAGAGGCCAACAGUCAAAUUCAGGAAAUACAGAGAACUCCUGCAAGAUUCUACACAAGAAGAUCAUUCCCAAGACACAUAAUUGUUAGAUUUUCAAAGGUCAAAAUGAAAGACUGUUAAAGGCAGCUAGAGAGAAAGGGCAGGUUACCUACAAAGGGAUCCCCAUCAGGCUAACAGUGGACCUCUCAGCUGAAACCCUACAAGCCAGAGAGAUUGAGGGCCUAUAUUUAACAUUCUUAAAGAAAAAAAUCUUCAACCAAGAACUUCAUAUGCAGCCAAACUAAACUCCCUAAGUGAUGGAGAAAUAAGAUCCUUUUCAGAUAAGAAAAUGUUGAAGGACUUCAUUACCACCAGAUCUGUCUUACAAGAGAUCUUGAGAGAAGCACUAAAUAUAAAAAGGAAAGAUCACUACCAGCUAAUCCAAAAAUACAUGUAAACACACAGACCAGUGUCACUGUAAAGCAGCCACACAGUAAGCCAACAUAAUAACCAGCUAACAGCACAAUGACAGGAUCAAAUCCACACAUAUUAAUAUGAACCUGGAAAGUAAACAAGCUAAAUGCCCCACUUAACAGGCAUAGAGUGAGAAACUGGAUAAAAAAGAAACAUCUAUGGUAUGUAUGCUGUCUUCAAGAGACCCAUCUCACAUGUAAUGACAAAAUAAAGGGAUGGAGAAAAAUCUACCGAGCAAAUGAAAAACAGAAAAAAGCAGGGGUUGCAAUCUUACUUUCAGACAAAACUCAUUUCAGAUCACAAAGAUCAAAAAAGACAAGGAAGGGCAUUACAUAAUGAUAAAGGUUUCAAUUCGACAAGAAGGCCUAACUAUCCUAAAUAUAUAUGCACCCAACACAGGAGCACCCAGUUUUAUAAAGCAAGCUCUUAGAGACCUACAAAGAGACAUAGGCUCCCACACAGUAAUAGUGGGAGACUUCAGCAGUCCACUGACAGCAUUAGAUGGAACAUCCAGGCAGAAAAUUAACAAAGACAUUCAGGAUGGUAACUCAGCAUUGGACCAAACGGAUCCAAUAGACCUUUACAGAAGGUUCUACCCAAAACAACAGAAUAUACAUUUAUCUCAUCACCACAUGACACAUACUUUAAAGUCAACCACAUAAUUGGACAUAAAACAAUCCUCAACAAAUAGAACCAAAAUCAUACCAAACACAUUCUCAGACCACAGUGCAAUAAAAAUACAAGUCAACACACUGAAAAUUGCUCAAAAUCAUACAAUUACAUGGAAAUUAAACAACGUGCUACUGAAUGACUUCUGGGUAAAUAAUGAAGUUAAGGCAGAAAUCAAUAAGCUCUUUUAAAAUAAUGAGAACAAAGAUACAACAUAUCAGAAUCUCUGGGACACAGCUAAGGCAGGGUUAAGAGAGAAAUUUAUAGCACUAAAUGCCCACAUCAAAAAGCUAAAAAAAAAAUCUCAAAUUAACAACUUAACAACUGAAAGAAUCAAAGAAGCGAGAACAAAUUAACCCCAAAGCUAGCAGAAGAUGAGAAAUAACAAAAAUCAGAGUUGAACUGGAGGAAAUCAAGACAGAAAAAUAUUCAAAAGAUCAACAAAUCCAGGAGUUGUUUUUUUGAAAAAAAAUCAAUAAAAUAGGCCACUACCUAGCCUACUUAAGAAGAAAAGAGAGAAGAUUCAAAUAAACACAAUUAGAAGUAAUGAAGCAAAUGUUACAACUGACCCCACAGAAAUGCAAACAAUCAUCAGAAACUACUAUGAACAUUUCUAAACACACAAACUAGAAAACCUAGAAGAGAUGGAUAAAUUCCUGAACACAUACACCCUCCCAAGACUGAGCCAGGAAGAAAUUGAUUCCCUGAACAGACCAAUAAUGAGCUCUGAAAUUGAAUCAGUAAUAGCCUACCAACAAAAAAAAAAGCCCAGGACCUGAUAGAUUCACAGCCGAUUUCUAUAAGGUGUACAAGGAAGAGCUGGUACUAUUCCUACAGAAACCAUUCCAAAAAAUUGAGGAGAAGGAACUUCUCUGCAACUAUUUCUAUGAGGCCAGCAUCAUUUGAUACCAAAACCCAGCAGAACACAACAAAUAAAGAAAACUUCAGGUCAGUACCCUUGAUGAACAUCAGUGCAAAAAUUCUCAAUAAAACACUUGCAAACCAAAUCCAGCAGCACAUCAAAAAGCUAAUUCACCACAAUCAAGUAGGCUUAAUCCCCAGGAUGGAAGGUGGGUUUGACACACAAAUCAAUAAAUGUGAUCCAUCACAUAAACAGAACUAAAGACAAAAACCACAUGAUUAUCUCAAUAUAUGCAGAAAAGGCUUUUGAUAAAAUCUAACAUCCCUUCAUGUUAAAAAAACUCUCAACAAACUAGGUAUUGAAGGACCAAACCUCAAAAUAAUAAGAGCCAUCUAUGACAAACCCACAACCAACAUUAUACAAAAUAAACAUAAGGUGGAAGGGUUCACCUUGAAAACUGGCGCAAGACAAGGAUGCCUUCUCUCACCACUUCUAUUCAACGUAGUAUUGGGAGUCCUAGUCAGAGUAAUCAGGCCAGAGAAAGAAAUAAAGGACAUCCAAAUAGGAAGAGAGAAAGUCAAACUAUCUCUGUUUGCAGAUGACAUUAUUCUAUAUCUAAAAAGCCCCAUAGUCUCAGCCCAAAAAGCUCUUUCAACUGAUAAACAACUUCAGCAAAGUUGCAGGAUAAAAAAAUCAAUGUACAAAAAUUACUAUUAUUCCUAUACAACUACAACAACCAAACAGAACCAAAUCAGAAUGGCAAUCCCAUUCACAAUUGCCAUACACACACACAAAAUAAAAUACCUAGGAAUACACCUAACCAGGAAAAUGAAAGAUCUCUACAAUGAAACUUACAAAACACUGUUCAAAUAAAUCAGAGAAGACACAAGCAAAUGUAAAAGCAUCCCCUUCUCAUGGAUAGAAAGAAUCAAUAGUAUUAAAAUGUCUACAGUGCCCAAAGCAAUUUACAGAUUCAAUGCUAUUCCUAUAAAAAUACCAAUGACAUUCUUCAUAGAACUAGUAAAAAUAUUUUAAAAUUUAUAUGGAACCAAAAAAGAGCCUGAAUAGCCAAGGCAAGCCUAAGCAGAGGAGGAAUCACAUUACCUGACUUCAAACUAUACCACAAAGCUACAAUGACCAAAACAGCACGUUACUGGUACAAAAACAGACACACAGACCAAUGGAACAGAAUAGAGAGCCCAGAAAUAAGGCUGAACAUCUACAACCAUUUGAUCUUUAACAAAGCUGACAAAAACAAGCAAUGGAGGAAAGACCUUAUUCAAUAAAUGGUGCUGGGAUAACCAGCUAGCCAUAUGCAGAAGAUUGAAGAUGGACGCAUUCCUUAUGCCAUAUACAAAAAUCAUCUCAAGAUGGAUUAAAGACUUAAAUGUGAAACCCAAAACUAUAAAAACCCUGAAAGACAACCUAGGCAAUGGCAUACUGGACUCAGGAAUAGGCAAAGAUUUCACGACAAAGACACCAAAAGAAAUCACAACAAAAGCAAAAAUUGACAAAUGGGAUCUAAUUAAAUUUAAGAGCUUCUGCAUUGCAAAAGAAACUAUCAGCAGAGUAAACAGACAACCUACAGAAUGGGAGAAAAAUAUUUGCAAACUAUGCAUCUGACAAAGGUCUAAUAUCCAGCAUCUUUAAAAAACUUAAUGAUAUUUACAAGAGAAAAACAAACAACCCCAUUAAAAAGUGAGCAAAGGACAUGAACAGACACUUCUCAAAAGAAGACAUACAUGCAAACAACAAACAUAUGAAAAAAAGCUCAAUAUCACUCAUCAUUAGAGAAAUGCACAUAAAAACCACAAUGAACUACCAUCUCACACCAGUCAGAACGGCUAUUGUUAAAAAGUCAAAACAUAACAGAUGCUGGUGAGGUUGUGGAGAAAAGGGAACCUUUACACACUGUUGAUGGGAGUGUAAAUUAGUUCAACCAUUGUGGAAAGCAGUAUGGUGAUUCCUCAAAGAGCUAAAAGCAGAACUACCAUUUAACCCAGCAGUCCCAUUACAGGGUAUAUACCCUGAGGAAUAUAAAGCAUUCCACCAUAAAGACACAUGCAUGCAAAUGUUCAUUGCUGCACUGUUCACAAGAGCAAAGACAUGGAAUCAACCUAAAUGCUCAUCAAUGACAAAUUGGAUAAAGAAAAUGUGGUAGAUAUACACCAUGGAAUAUUAUGCAGCCAUAAAAAAGAAUGAGAUUAUGUCCUUUGAGGGAACAUGGAUGGAGCUGGAAGCUAUCAUCCUUAGCAAACUAAUGCAGCAAGAGAAAACCAAAUACUGCAUGUUCUCACUUAUAAGUAGGAGCUAAAUGAUAAGAACUUGUGAACACAAAGAAGGAAACAACAAAUACUGGGGUCUACUUGAGGAGGGAGAAGAGCAGAAAAGAGAACUAUUAGGUGCUAAGCAUAAUAUAAUACCUGAGUGACAUAACAACAACAAACAAACCCCUGUGACAUGUGUUUAUCUAUGUAACUGUGAACCCCAAAAACCUGAGACAGGUCUCAUUUAAUUUUAAAAAGUUUAUUUUGCCAAGGUUGAGGCCACACACCUGUGACACAGCCUCAGGAGGUCCUGACACCAUACGCCCAAGAUGGUCAGAGCACAGUUUGGUUUUACACAUUCUAGGGAGACAUGAGACAACAAUCAACAUAUUCAAGAUGGACAUUGAUUCGAUCUGGAAAGAUGGGACAACUCAAAGGCAGGAAAACUCAAAUCAGGGAGGAGGCUAGGUCAUAGGUAGCUAAGAGACAAAUGGUUGCAUUCUUUUGAGUUUCUGAUUAGCCUGUCCAAAGGAGGCAAUAAGAUAUGCAUUUAUCUCAGUGAGCAGAGGGGUGACUUUGAAUAGAAUGGGGGGCAGGUUGGCCCUAAGCAGUUCCCAGCUUGACUUUUCCCUUUAGCUUAGUGAUGUGGGGGCCCAAAGAUCUAUUUUCCUUUCACAUAGCAAACCUUCAUAUGUACCUCCAAACCUUAAAUAUUUUGAAAAAAAAUUUAGAGGUCUCUUCCGCAAUUCUGGGACCACAAAUGCCAGAAAACUUCCAAAUACUUCACCCUCACAAAAGUAUGAGCUUUAAGAUCUGGACUUUGCCCUACUGGAUAUCUCCAUUCCAUUCUAAGAAAUAGGAAGGAAUUGCUAAAAUAUGAGGGGUUUCUGACAAUAAACCUCAAUAUAAUCAGUGAAUACUUCCUGAGCACCUGCCUUUUGUCAUGCUCUGGUCAAGGAACUGAGUGUAGAGAUGAAUAUAAAAUGUAAUCUCUGACAUCAGUGAUUUCAUUAGGUAGCACAGGACACUAAGCCAGUAUCUGCCACUUUAUCAGCCUUCCAGCUAUGUCUGCUCUAGCCUUUAAAUCAGAGUGUGUCCAGAUAAUAAAUCAAAUGUUUACACGUGUGGAAGGAAAGAGUACCAGUAGGGAUUUUUUUUACUCUUAAUCACUCAUUUGAGCACACAUAGUACCUGGAAAGAAAAAAGAAAUCUCUUUUCUGUCUUUGCAUCACCAGAAAUUUGCCUUGCAGGAUCUGGUAUAGUCUAGCUGGCCAGGGGAUAAUGGUGGUUUGGGUUGGAAGAGGAGGAAGGGUUUCCUCCGUAGUUUAGGUUUGCUUCAGUUUCACCAGUGAUUGUUCUCAAAGGUCCCGAUAACAGAACCUCUCAACAUCUUUCCCCUAAAGAAACUAUGAUAACCUUGUAUCUUUAUGACAUGACCACUUACGCAUCCCAAUAAAACUGAGAGAAAUAAUAGCUUUCUUUAACGCUUCUCUAAGAGAACUCUUGUCUACUCUCAUUGACUCCCAGAUAUACAUCUCUAUCCCAGAUCCUUCUCCUGAUCACCAGACCUAUAAUGACUGGUGGACACCUCUAUGUGACUGUCAUGUGGCUGCUUAAAGUUCACCAUGCCAUAGACUGAACUCACUGUUUCUACCCCACCUUGAUCUUUCUAUUCUCGGUGACUAGCCGCAUUGUUCACUGGUUCCAUCCUCUUCCUCAUUCUUUAUUCAGUACUCUUCAUUUCCUAUGAAAUAACCCCAUAAUGCCCUACUGACUUCUUGUAUUCAUCCACUUCUUUCAAUCACCACUAGCACUACUUUGGUUCAGUCCACUGCUCUCUUUUGGAUUGUUGCUAUUCUCCCAAUUAGUGUCUCCACUUCUAGUCUUACCUGCUCUAGUCCAGUCUCCAAAGUCAUUUUUAUAAUUUAAAAAUCUGAGUAUGUAUCCUCCAUUUGAAGCACUUUAAUAGGACCCCCUUUAUCUUCAAAUAAAGUCCUUCACAUAAAUCACCACGCUUUCAUUAUAUGACCUGUUCAUCUCUCCAGCUUCACAUAGUGACACUCCCCACCUUAUUGUCCAUAAUCCAUACUAUUCCAAUUGUAGUUCUCCCAGUGGAAAAAAAAAAUUCUAUUGCCUCUGGAAUUUUUCACAUGCUGGCCAAAAUAUUUAUUCUUUGUCUUUUUUAUCUGUGCUCUCUCCCAGUUCCACUUUCCUUUUUUCCUGCUUACUCUUGCAAAAAAAAUCCUCCCUGAUACCUAGAGGACUACAUCUGUGUUGGUGUCUCUGAAAUUUACUCCCAUAGGGUGCUUGACUUACCCAAUAUUGUAGCCCAAACCCACUGAACUGACUGUAAAUGCUUUGGAAGGUGAACCAUGACAUGUUUGUUGUUAAUUUCCUGAUGACUAACAUACAGGAUGGCACAGAAUCAGACAUCAAGAAAGAUGAAUCAAAAGAGAAUGACAUCAGUAAGAUGGCAGAGUAGGAAGCCCUGGACCCUCCUUCUACCUACAAACACAAAUUCAGCAACAAUUUAUGGACAAAUUCCCUUUGUGAGAAAUCAAAAACUAAUUAAAAAGCUCCUGCACUCUGGAACAGCAUAAAAACAGACAUAGCAAAGCCUGUGGACAGAUUCAGGAUACUGUCUUGUCAGAGACCCUUGCCCCCAGUGCAGGGCCAUACAUUCAGGAAGAAACCCUGUAGCUUCCAGCUUCAUGCAGUCGAGGUAAGGAGCUGGUUGCACAUUCAGCACCCCAACAUUUCCAAGGGAGUCCCCAGAGGUUUGCCUUCUUUCUUGCUAGACCUGGUGCUCUAAUGGGUCUGGUAUAGUCUAGCUGGCCAGGGGAUAAUGGAGGUGGUGGCUUGGGUUGGUAGACAACAUUGAUUUCCUUCUCCCCCAACUCCAGUUGGCACAGAGUGAGCAGAUGAAAACUUUCAGCCCUCAGCUUCCCCCAGGGAGGAAAAGAGCUGAUCUGUGCAACCAGAGCUCCAACUUCUCCAGGGCUGCUCAAACUAUUGGCAUCUGUUUCACCAGUCUUGAAGCUCUGAUGUGUGCAGUACAGUCUAACUACCCAGGAGAGAACAAAUAUGCCAAUUUGGGUUGGUAGAUGCUAUAGUUUGACCACCCCACUCCACUCUCCAGCUCAGCACAGAAAGAGUGAACAAAGCCAUAGCUCCUGCUUCUCCCUGGGGAAGUAAAGAGGUAGUAGAUGUCCAUAAGAAUCACUGGCUGGGCUGAUGGGGGGUUGGGGGUGUAUUUUCCUGUAUGAAGCCAGUUCAUGAAGACUGUGAUAGCUGCCUGUUUUGUCUAAUAACCCUCGGAUAUCAACACAGGGAGUCAAGGAAAUUAAAUAAUUGGGCAAAGAUAUUUUUAAAAAGGGAAUUAAGAUACAUUUCCAAAGACUAACCCUAAUGAACUGGAGUUACAACUUCAUGAAGAUGUGGACUGAGUCAGUAAAACAUGCAUUUAAAAAGUGAGGAUUUCAACAGAGAGAUAAAACAUAUUUUAAAGUGCCAAAUAGAAAUAGAAAUGCAUAAUAGAUGAGCCAAAUAUUCACUGGAGGGGUUCAACAGCAGACUAGAUCAUGCAGCAGAAAGGAUCAGUGAACCCAAGCACAGGUCACUAGAAAUAAUUCAGUCAAAGAAACAAUAAGAAUUAAAAGAAAAAAUGGAGAAACUUAAGGGACUUAUGGAUCACCAUCAAGUGGGCCAACAUACAUAUUAGGGAUAUUUUAGAAGGAGGAGAGAGAAAGGACCAGAAAGAUUGUUCAAAGAAAUAAUGGCUGAAAACUUACCAAAUCUUGGGAAGAAAAUGGACAUUCAGAUCUAAGAAAUUCAAAAGACACCAAAUAAGAUAAACCCAAAGAAAUACAUACAAAUUUGUAAUCAAGUUGUUAAAAGUCAAAGACAAAGAGAACUUUAAAAACAGCAAGAGAAAAGUGACUUGUCACGUACAAGAGAACUCUAUAAGACUACCGGUGGGUUUUUAAGCAGAAAGUUUUCAGGUCAGAAGGGAGUGGGAUCAUAUAUUCAAUAUGCUGAAAAAAAACUGUCAGUGAAGAAUACUAUACUCAAAAAAUUUUUCUAUAAAAGUGACACAGAGUAGGAGGAUUCUGGAAAGGUGGUAGAGUAGGAAGCACUAGGAAUAGUAAUCUGUUUCCCCAUCUACACAAAAAUUACCCUGGACUAAUCUGUCUAAUGUAAUUAUUUUGGAACUCCAAAGUUCAUUGAAGGCUUGCAACUUCCAGCAGAAGGUUUGGAUGAUAAAUAUGGUUAAUGUCAGUCAAUUUCAGCUCUUAACACAGUAACAGCUACCCAUCUCCACCCAUACUCUCUCCCCGUGGGAGGUAGCCAGCACAUGAUCCUGGAGUAACUUUCACAAAGCUUUUGGGAGUCAUGGUACCAAAUAUCUGGUAUCUGUGCUGUGAUUUCUGAUUGCUGCUUCUGAUCACAACAGCGUAGACAAGGAGGUAGUGGCUAUUGUUGGACUUCCCUCCAUUGUUGCAAGCCCCAUCCUUUCUGGAUAAAGUGACUUCCAGGGCAUGUCACUAAUCAUCUGGGAAGUGCAUACUAAACCACAUUAAAAUGUCACCUCACACCUGCUAGAAUGACUAUUAUCCAAAAAAAAAAAAAAUAUAUAUAUAUAUAUAUAUGUAUAUACACACAUAUAUAUAAAACAAGUGUUGGUGAGGAUGUGGAAAAAUUGGAACCAUUUUACAUGGUUGGUGGAAACAAAUUAAUACAGGCAUUAUGAAAACAAUAUGGAGACCUAAAAAAAUUAAAAACAGAGCGAUCACAUGUUUCAGCAAUCCCACUACUGAGUACAUGUCCAAAGGAAAGAAAAUCAGUAUGUCAAAGGAGUAUCUGCAUUCCCAUGUUCAUUGCCGCACUAUUCACAAUAGCCAAGGUAUAAAAUUUACCUAAGUGUUCAUCAGUAGAUAAAUGGAUAAUGAAAAUAUGGUGUAUAUACACAAUGGAAUAUUAUUCAGCCUUAAAAAGAAGAAAAUUACAUCAUUUGUAAUAAAAUGGAGGAAGCUGGAAGACAUUACAUUAAGUGAAAUAAGCCAGUCACAGAAAGACAAACACUGCAUGAUAUUACUUAUAUGUAGAGUGUAAGAAAGUCAAACUCAUAGAAACGGAGAGUAAAAUGGUGGUUUCCAGAGGCUGAGGGGUGGAGAAAAUUAGGAAGAUGUUAGUCAAAACACACAAAAUUUCAGUGAGACAGCAGGAAUAAGUUCAAGAGAUUUAUCAUACAUCACAGAGACUACAGUUAAUAACAAUAUAUUGUAUACUUGAAAAUUGCUAAGAGAUUAAAGUGUUCUCAUCACAAAAAAAAUUAUAAGUAUGUGAGGUAAUGCAUAUGUUCAAUAGCUUGAUUUAGCCAUUCCCUAAUGAAUACAUAUAUCAAAACAUAGUGUUGUACACCAUAAAUAUUUAUAAUUUUUACUUGUUAAUUAAAAUAUUUUUUAAAAGAAAAGACAUUCUGACAUAUGCUACAAAAUAAAUCAACCUGAAAACGUUAUGCUAAGUGAAAUAAACCAGUCACAAAGACAACUAUUGUAGGUUUCAAUUUAUAUGGAGUAUUUAAAGUAGUCAAAAUCAUAGAGACAUAAAGUAGAAUGGUGGUUGCCAGGGGCUAGGGAGUGAAGGGAAUGGGGAGUUAUUGUUUAAUGGGUAUAGAGUUUCAGUUUUGCAAGAUUAAAAGUGUUCUGGAAAUGAAUAGAUGAUGAUAGAUGUACAACAAUAUGAGUGUACUUAAUACCACUGAAUGUACACUAAAAAUGGUUAAGAAGGUAAAUUUUAUGUUACAUGGAUUUUAACACAAUAAAAAAUUGAAAAAAAUAAAAGUAGGUAUAAAGACUUUCCCAGACAAACAAAAGUUCAGAGAGUUCAUCUUCAGUAGACCUGCCUUACAAGAAAUGGUAGAGUUCUUAGAGUUGAAACAAAAGGACACUAACCAGUAACAUGAUAGCAUAAGAAAAAGUAGAAAACUCAUUGGUAAAGGUAAAUAUGUAGACAAAUACAGAAUACUGCAUUACUGUAAUGGGGUGGAAAAUCACCCCAUUAAUUCUAGCAUAAAAGCUAAAAGACAAAGUAUGAAAAAUAAAUAUAACUAAAACCAUGAUAAAAGAUAUACAAUAUGAAUACACAUAAAUUGUGACAAGAAUAAUAUAUGAGGGGUUAAAGUGUAGAGUAUGUGAUUGAACUUAAGUUGUUAUCAGCUUAAAAUAGACUGCUAUAACCAUAUUUUAUGUAAGCCCCAAAGUAUGUAUGUAACCACAAAGAAGAUUUUUUAUGUAACCACAAUAAAGUCCCUAUAGAAAUUACACAAAGAAAAUAAAGAAUAAAAUCAAGCAUAUUAUCUUAGUUUAUUUGGGCUGCUAUAACAAAAUACCUUAGACUUGGCAAUUUACAAAUAACAGAAAUUUAUUGCUCACAGUUCUGCGGACUAGAAAGUCUGAGAUCAAGGCAUCAGCAGAUUCAGUGUCUGGUGAUGUGUCAGUCUCUGCUUCAAAGAUGAUGCUUGCUCACUGCACCCUCACAUAGUAGAAGGGGUGAAUAAGCUCCCUUAGGCCUCUUUUACAAAGGCACUAAUCCAUUCAUUAGGGUGGAGCCCUCAUUAUCCAAUCAUCUCCCAAAGGCUCCACACUUUAAUAUUAUUGAAUUGGGUAUUAGGAUUCAACAUAUAAAUUUUGGAGGGAAACAAACAUUCAGAUCAUAGCACAUAUUAAUGCAAAAACUUUACAAAACAUAAAGAAAGACAGCAAGAGAGAAAAAGAAAAGGGAACUACAAGACUGAGAGAAAACAACUAGUAAAUGCCUAUAGUAAAUCCUUUCCUAUCAAUAUUACUUUAAAUGUAAAUUGAUUAAAUUCCCCCAAUCAAAAGACAAACAGUGAGUAAUGGACUUUUUUUAAAGACCCAACUAUGUGCUGCCUACAAGAAACUCACUUUAGAUAUAAAAACACACAUAAGUUGAAACUGAAGCCAAGAAAAAAGUAUUCCAUGCAUAUGGUAAUCAAAAGAGAGUAGGAGUGGCUGUACUUAUAUCAGAAAAAUAGACUUGAAGUCAAAAAUUGUCAAAAGAGACAAAGAAGGACAUUAUAUGAUGAAAAGGGUCAGUCCAUAGGCUGUAAUACCAAUAUAAGAGCACUUAAAUAUAUAAAAUAUUGACAAAACUGAAGGGAAAAACAGACAGCAAUACAAUAAUAGUAGAAUUCAGUACCCUACUUUCAAUAAUGAACAGAAUAUCCACACAGAAGAUCAAUAAACAGAGGACCUCAAUCGCAUUAUAAAACAAAUGGACCUAACAGACAUGUACAGAACAUUCCAUCCAACAGCAGCAUAAUACACAUUAUUUUCAAGUACACAUGAUUCUUUCUGCAGAGCAGGUCACAUGUUAGGUCACAAAAUAAGUCAACAAAUUUAAAAAGAUUGAAAUCUUACCAAAGAUUGACCAUUAUGGUCAACCUUUUCUGACCACGAUGGAAUGAAACGAGAAAUCAGUAGCAGAAGGAAAACUGAAAAAUUCACAGAUAUAUGGAAACUAAACAACAUACUUAUAAACAACAAUUGAGUUACGAGGAAAUCAAAAGGAAAUUAGAAAAUAUCUCAAUACAAAUAAAAAUGAAAACACAACAUACCACUGCCUAUAGGGUAUAGCAAAAGCAGUAGUAAGAGAGAAGUUUAUGGUGAUGAACAUCUACAUUACAAAAGACAAAAUGUCUCAAAUAAACAACCUAACUUUAUACCUCAAGGAACUAGGAAAAAACAAUAAAUUAGUUCCAAAGUUAGCAGAAGGUAGGAAAUAACAGAUUAUUACCCAGAAAUAAAUGAGAGAGAAAAUAUAAAAACAAUAGAAAAAAAUCAAUGAAACUGAGAGUUGGUUUUUUAAAAGAUAAAUAAAAGUGACAAACUUGUAGCUAGACUAAGAAAAAACACUCAAAUAAAUAAAAUCAGAACUGGAAAGAGGAAACAUUACAACUCUUGCCACAGAAAUAAAAAGGAUCCUAACAGACUGCUAUGAACAAUAUCCAACAAACUGGAUAACCUAGAAGAAAUGAUAAAUUCCUAGAAACAUAUAACCUACCAAUACUAAACCAUAAGGAAAUAUAAAGUCAAAACCGACACAUAACUAGUAUGGAGAUUGAAUCAGUAAUCAAAAACCUCCCCAAAAAUCAAGCUCAAUACCUGUAGAGUCACUGGUAAACUCUAUCAAACAUUUAAAGAAGAAUUAAUGCCACUCCUUCUCAAACUCUUCCAAAAAAUUAAAGAGGAGAGAACACUUCCAAACUUAUUUUAUGAGGCUAGCAUUACCUUGAUUCCAAAGCCAGACAAAGACAACACAAGAAAGAAAACCUACAGGCCAAUAUUCUCAAUGAAUAUAGAUGCAAAAAAGCCUCAACAAAAUACUAGCAAACUGAAUUCAAUGGCACAUUAAAGGGAUUAUACACCAUGACCAUAUGAGACUUAUCCCAGAGAUGUAAGGAUGGCUUAAUGUCGAAAAAGCAAGUAAUUUAAUAUACUACAUUGACAUAAUAAAAAAUAAAAUCACAUCAUCAUUUUAAUAGAUGCAGGAAAGGCAUGUGACAAAAUUUGACAUUGUUUCAUGAAAAAAACUGUCAACAUACUAGGUAUAGGAGGAAUCUACUUCAACAUUAUAAAGGUCAUAUAUAAAAAGUCCAUAGCUCACAUUAUACUCAAUGGUGAAAAACUGAAAGCUUUUCCUCUAAGAUGAGAAACAUGGCAAGGAUGCCCACUCUUGCCAGUUCUAUUCAACAUAGCACUAGAAGUCCUAGCCAGAGAAAUUAGACAAGAAAAAAUAAACAUAAAGAUUCAAACUGGAAAGGAAGAAGUAAAAUUAUUCCUAUUUGCAGAUGACAUUAUGUUAUAUAGAGAAAACUUUAAAGACUCAAUUUUAAAAAAAAAACUGUUAGAAUAAGCAGUUAAUAAUAAUAAAUAAAUUCAGUAAAGUUGCAGUUAACAUACAAAACUUAGUAGUAUUCCUAUAUACCAACAACAAAAUAAAUUGUUAGAAUAAACAGUUAACAGUAAUAAAUUCAGUAAAGUUGUAGUCAACAUACAAAACUUAAUAGCAUUCUGAUACACUAACAACAAAUAUCUGAAAAGAAAUUUAAGAAAACAAUUUCACUCAUAAUAGUGUCAAAAAGAAUAAAAUACAUAAAGAUAAACUUAACUACAAGGUGGAAAACUUAUACUGAAAACUACAAAAUAUUGAUGAAAGAAAACUAAACAAGACACAAACAACUGGAAAGCACUCCAUGUUUAUGGAUUAGAAGAGUUAAUAUUGUUAAAAUAUUCAUACUACCCAAGGCAAACUACACAUUCAAUGCACUCC
This 15049-nucleotide long non-coding RNA is filed under the name Homo sapiens (human). RNAcentral describes it as "non-protein coding lnc-SLC38A2-1:9". The record is from RNAcentral. Lineage: Eukaryota; Metazoa; Chordata; Mammalia; Primates; Hominidae.